This is a non-coding RNA of Salmo salar (Atlantic salmon), 1687 nucleotides long. NCBI's taxonomy places the organism in Eukaryota, Metazoa, Chordata, Actinopteri, Salmoniformes, Salmonidae. The record is from RefSeq and is a predicted model, not a curated record.
GAGGAGACGAGGAAAUGCAGGAGGAAAGAGGAAGUUUAGUUACUAACUUUAUGGAAGUUCAUAGCUAGCUAGAAACUGAAUUGACUCAUGAAAAGUUGCGCUAGUUCACGUCGUUGAAUUGAAAUGUCCCUGACCAGCUAAUAACCAUAGAGUUAUUCGAGAACUCAACCUAAUCCUGACCACACACCAUUCGCCUUCCACAAACACGAGCGCACAUAUGGAAUGCGGAAACUAGCUACAAAGACACGUUGAUUCAAGAUGGGCGUUUUUUUUAAACUACAUUUGGCAAUACUUUAAAGGUCUCUGGAGCGGCGGCAGAUUUCCUUGAUUUUCAUACAAAAUGGCUGAAUACACCGAGGCGUUCGUUGAUUGGUCCAGGUACUUGGAAGAGCCUGAAAUGGGCGGGCACUUACACCUAGCAUCGCGAUUUGAUUGGUUCGUUAAAGGGGCUGACUGAGGAGGAGCAGCUGUGUGAUUUCGUUAACUUCGGGACUUUGAACCAGACCUACUGGGUCAAUAUGUCAACGUUCUUCAUACUUCAGCAGCAGAUUAGCAUGCUGGAUACAAUGGAAACCAAUGGAAUAGUCAUUUAGAUACAAACUCCACGCUGGGUAAUCAAUCAAUUAUUCAAAAGUAUUUCACAUACUUGACCGAGGUGUUUUUUGCAUGUUUUUGUUGUUGUUGUAUUAAGUGGUUUGAAACAGUUGUUACUAUUUCCAAUGCAUAAAAAAAGCAGAGGUAAUCAGAGGUGUGUGGAUCUGACCCAUAAACGACCCAUAAACGACCCCAGCUAACCCAAGACCAUCACACUCCCUGGUUCCAGCGAGAGAUCUGUAAUCUCUCACUCGCUUGCUCCUCUCUCUCUCUCUCCCCCUAACCCCACAUUCUCUCUCCACCUCCCUCUCCCCUUUCUAUUUCCCUUCAUUCAACCUAUCCUCUCCAGUCUCCCUUCUCUCCCUCCUCCCUCUCUCAUCCCAGACCCCACCCUUUCUCUUUCCCCUAGUGUACACUGUAGAGCAGGGUAAUGGAACACACAGACACCAGAGAGUCUCUGGGAAUGGAAGGUUUAUUCUGCUGACGACAGGUUUCACCUUCCCUUCGAUCCCAGUAGAACCCAUUAUUACAUUCAUGUUAAGCAAUAUGCCGUGAUGAUGGAUAUAGUUAUCAAUGAUACUGAUCAGACCUGAUGAGGAGUAUUACGAUCAAUAACAACACUAAUCAGAGUUAGAGUUAAUGCUACAUCAGAAGAUUCAACAUCACUGACUCAACAAAAUUCAUAAGCAUCAGCAUUUAAACAAUGGCUGGGCUUGACUCAAACAGUGAACCAGCCAUCCUUUACAUUAAAAAAAAAUUAAAAAUAGUGAAAUGUGUUUAUGAGUUGCACAGUGUCAUAGUGAGUCUAAUGAGGAGAUUAGUAGAUAUGAAUAGAGAUCAAUAGAUUACUAGAUGUAAGUAGAGUAUAAAUGACUUGAGAUGAUGAGAUAGAGAUGAUGACAUGGGAUGGACAGUUUAAAACAGAGAUAAUGAUGUUAUCUGAGAUGUACCAGAUGACAUGGUGUGGUUGCUUGAUUAAUUGAUUGAUUGGUUUACCUAUUGAUUUGUGAUGAUGGUACAAGCUUGCAUGUGGAGUGUGGCUGGCUAUGAUUUGGCAGAAACCAAACAAAUAAAUACACUGUAUAAAACCUGA